RNAcentral lists this ribosomal RNA (506 nucleotides) under uncultured Sphingobacteriales bacterium. RNAcentral describes it as "bacterial SSU rRNA". It matches the Rfam family "Bacterial small subunit ribosomal RNA", at positions 903 to 1382 of the family's 1533-position model. The record is from RNAcentral. Lineage: Bacteria; Pseudomonadati; Bacteroidota; Sphingobacteriia; Sphingobacteriales.
UGCGCCUUGCCAGCCCGCUCAGAAACUUAAAGGAAUUGACGGGGGCCCGCGACAAGCGGUGGAGCAUGUGGUUUAAUUCGAUGAUACGCGAGGAACCUUACCUGGGCUCAAAUGUAUGUUGACGUAUUCUGAAAGGGAUACUUCUUCGGACAAUAUACAAGGUGCUGCAUGGUUGUCGUCAGCUCGUGCCGUGAGGUGUCGGGUUAAGUCCCAUAACGAGCGCAACCCCUAUCAUUAGUUGCCAUCAGGUCAAGCUGGGGACUCUAAUGAAACUGCCUACGCAAGUAGUGAGGAAGGUGGGGAUGACGUCAAAUCAGCACGGCCCUUACGUCCAGGGCUACACACGUGCUACAAUGGUCGGUACAAAGGGUUGCCAAGCCGCGAGGUGGAGCUAAUCCCAUAAAACCGAUCGUAGUCCGGAUCGCAGUCUGCAACUCGACUGCGUGAAGUCGGAAUCGCUAGUAAUCGUGAAUCAGAAUGUCACGGUGAAUACGUUCCCGGGCCUU